GAUGAACGCUGGCGGCGUGCCUAAUACAUGCAAGUCGAGCGGAAAGGCCUCUUCGGAGGUACUCGAGCGGCGGACGGCUGAGUAACACGUAGGAACAUACCCUAAAGUGAGGGAUAACUGCUCGAAAGAGUAGCUAAUACCGCAUGUGGUCUUCGGAUUAAAGCUUCGGCGCUUUGGGAAUGGCCUGCGUCUGAUUAGCUAGAUGGUGAGGUAAUGGCUCACCAUGGCGACGAUCAGUAGCUGGUCUGAGAGGAUGAUCAGCCAGACUGGGACUGAGACACGGCCCAGACUCCUACGGGAGGCAGCAGUAGGGAAUUUUCCACAAUGGGCGAAAGCCUGAUGGAGCAACGCCGCGUGCAGGAUGAAUGCCUUCGGGUUGUAAACUGCUUUUAUAUGUGACGAAUAUGACGGUAGCAUAUGAAUAAGGAUCGGCUAACUCCGUGCCAGCCGCCGCCGUAA
This 459-nucleotide ribosomal RNA is filed under the name uncultured bacterium. RNAcentral's name for it is "partial 16S ribosomal RNA". It matches the Rfam family "Bacterial small subunit ribosomal RNA", at positions 28 to 523 of the family's 1533-position model. The record is from RNAcentral.